UACGAAGGGGGCUAGCGUUGUUCGGAUUUACUGGGCGUAAAGCGCACGUAGGCGGAUCGUUAAGUCGGGGGUGAAAUCCUGGAGCUCAACUCCAGAACUGCCUUCGAUACUGGCGAUCUCGAGUCCGGAAGAGGUGAGUGGAACUCCUAGUGUAGAGGUGGAAUUCGUAGAUAUUCGCAAGAACGCCAGUGGCGAAGGCGGCUCACUGGCCCGGUACUGACGCUGAGGUGCGAAAGCGUGGGGAGCAAACAGG
Molecule: ribosomal RNA, 253 nt
Filed under: uncultured bacterium
Lineage: Bacteria
Description: partial 16S ribosomal RNA
Rfam family: Bacterial small subunit ribosomal RNA
Source: RNAcentral